Non-coding RNA from Saimiri boliviensis boliviensis (Bolivian squirrel monkey), 652 nucleotides. The record is from RefSeq and is a predicted model, not a curated record. NCBI's taxonomy places the organism in Eukaryota, Metazoa, Chordata, Mammalia, Primates, Cebidae.
CGUGUGCUGCUUGGCUAGCGGCGGCCGCGGCUGCCCAGUGGGUGUACGCCUCCUCGGCGCGCCCCUGGCCGGCGGGGAGCCUGUGAGCCCGGUUCUCUGCGGGGCAAGGGGCUGCUUAUCGAGAAUGUGGCGUCCCUCUGAGGCCCCACGGUCCGGGCCUACACCCAGAUGAACGAGCUGCAGCGGCGCCUUGGGCCCCGGGGCCUGGUGGUGCUCAGCUUCCCGGGCAACCCGUUUGGACCUCAGGAGAACGCCAAGAACGAAGAGAUUUUGAAUUCCCUCAAGUACGUCUGACCUGGUGGUGGGUUCGAGCCCAACUUCAUGCUCUUCGAGAAGUGCGAGGUGAAGGGUGCGGGGUCGCACCCUCUCUUCGCCUUCCUGCGGGAGGCCCUGCCAGCGCCCAGCGACGAUGCCACUGCGCUCAUGACCGACCCCAAGCUCAUCACCUGAUCUCCGGUAUGCCGAAAUGAUGUUGCAUGGAACUUCGAGAAGUUCCUCGUGGGCCCUGACGGUGUUCCUGUGCGCAGGUACAGCCGCCGCUUCCAGACCAUUGACAUAGAGCCUGACAUCAAAGCCCUGUUGUCCCAAGGGCCCAGAUGUGCCUAGGGCGCCCCUCCUACCCUGGCUGCCUGGCAGUUGCAGCGCUGCUCUC